Molecule: ribosomal RNA, 481 nt
Filed under: uncultured bacterium
Lineage: Bacteria
Description: bacterial SSU rRNA
Rfam family: Bacterial small subunit ribosomal RNA
Source: RNAcentral
GACGAACGCUGGCGGCGUGCUUAACACAUGCAAGUCGAGCGGUAAGGCCUUUCGGGGUACACGAGCGGCGAACGGGUGAGUAACACGUGGGUGAUCUGCCCUGCACUCUGGGAUAAGCCUGGGAAACUGGGUCUAAUACUGGAUAUGACCUCAGCAUGCAUGUGCUGGGGUGGAAAGCUUUUGUGGUGCAGGAUGGGCCCGCGGCCUAUCAGCUUGUUGGUGGGGUAAUGGCCUACCAAGGCGACGACGGGUAGCCGACCUGAGAGGGUGACCGGCCACACUGGGACUGAGACACGGCCCAGACUCCUACGGGAGGCAGCAGUGGGGAAUAUUGCACAAUGGGCGAAAGCCUGAUGCAGCGACGCCGCGUGAGGGAUGAAGGCCUUCGGGUUGUAAACCGCUUUCAGCUCCGACGAAGCGCAAGUGACGGUAGGAGCAGAAGAAGGACCGGCCAACUACGUGCCAGCAGCCGCGGUAAAAC